This 205-nucleotide long non-coding RNA is filed under the name Elaeis guineensis (African oil palm). Its description in RNAcentral is "long non-coding RNA (EGUI_LNC005771)". The record is from RNAcentral. Lineage: Eukaryota; Viridiplantae; Streptophyta; Magnoliopsida; Arecales; Arecaceae.
UGCAAGUUUAUAGCAUCUGAUGGACCGUCUUUGCAGCUCUUUUUACAGUUACUUGCAGCUGCAAAAGUGCACUCCAAGAACCAGUUUGGCCACCAGAUUGACCUUCUUGGGACUCUGAUACCGCCAUGCAUAAAAAUCUAUUGAGAGAUGGAUAUACAAUGGAAAAUCAAUAUCUGAGGGCAGAACAGGAUAGGCAUCUAAGCAG